This is a non-coding RNA of Equus caballus (horse), 2805 nucleotides long. Lineage: Eukaryota; Metazoa; Chordata; Mammalia; Perissodactyla; Equidae. The record is from RefSeq and is a predicted model, not a curated record.
GGGGUAAUUGUUCCAAAAAUAGUUGUAACCUGGUUGUGUUCAUGGGAGGAGGUGAGUUCAGAGUCUGCUCACACCGCCACCUUGACGAGAUCUCCUGUCCUCACAAUAACCUUAUAAAGUGAGUAUUAUUAUUUGAACCUCAUUUUAUAGAGGAAGAAACUGAGACUUAGAGAAAUUAGGUUAAUUUACUGAAUGUCACACAUUUGGUAAGUGGCAGAAAUAGAGUUUGAACAUGGAAUUUGGGGCGAACGCAAUAAUGCCCCAAAAAGCCGCUCCUCUUGCGAAGGGCACUGAAGCCCUGCGGUGCUAACGCAGAGCCCAGCACAGGCAGAGUGGGUCUGCGCAGAGCACAGGGAAGACGACCUCCCAGGGUGGGUGCCAGAUGGAUGAGAUCUCGACGUGACAGGUAAAACUCAAAGGCUAAUGGAAGAAAAUUGCAUUUAUUUUAUGACCAAGUAUUAGAUUAAAACCUCUUGGGACACAAACCAGUGGAACUCUGUAACUGCAAACCUUUCUCAGGUAAGUAAUUGUCAACAGGCCUUUCAGGAGGAACUCUUGAAAUGUUUUUAAAAUUAAUAACAGAUUGACAAAGUUGUAGAAAGACAACUGGUGAAAAUUUAACCUUCCUAAAAUCUAAGUUUUCAAUGGCUAUGAAUCAAGAGAAUGAAAAAUUUUGAACUUAGUUAUAAGGAAUGUAAAGAAAUGACCAUUCCAGCAGACUGAUGAGAAUCAUAAAAGAGAGGCUCAGCAGACGAGGUGAUAGCAGGCCUGAAGUAGAGAAGAGAAACCCAAAACUUCCUUUAGCCGCACGGCUAGUGGCUCCAGGGAUGCCUAGUGAAAUAACGUUGGAAGUUAUUACAAAUACCGCAGCACACAGCGCUCAUAGUUUGCAGCAAAGAACUGUGCCCAAGCUAAUUUAGAGGAGUGUGUUUACAGUUCUUAUUCCAGAUGGCCUUCAUUAAGUUAUUCUCGAUGACUCCUUUUGUGAUCGUUAUUAAGCGUUGAGUUAAUGAGCUUCUCUGGUUUUAAUGUCUAUAUCCAAUUGAUCUCAGUUGGUGUAUUAACCAUGCCUUUUAUUUUCUGAUGCUUUGACAUCUUGGGACCUUGCUGCCCCUGGAGGGAGGGACUACCUGGAUAGCAAACGACUCGCCUGUGAGUGCCUUUCAUCUGCAAGCCAGCCAUAGAGAGCCCAAAGUCCUCAAGCACCCCCUCUGUGGACUCUCACGUUCUGGGCCCCCACACACCCAUGCGCAUCACCACGGGGCCAGGUACCAGACGACAAGGUAUGGAUCCUAUGCCCCAAGCCUGCUGACAUUAUUCAGACUAGUCAAUCCUAAACCUGUCUACACUGCCUCACCAGUUCCUUCCCAUGAAAACCGCAAUAAAUGCUCUUGCUCACAUUUUCCCACUCCCUCAGCCUCCUGACCAAACCUGGUGCUUUCUUUGUGGCCCCUCGUGGUGUAGUCUGCCCCUUCCUCCUGAGAUCUAUAUUUUAGGAGACGAGGAGCCCCAAGCUGGAUUGGAAGGCGCCUCUGGUCCUCCUCCUCUCUGCGUCACAGAACCAGAGCUCUCUCUUCCCUUCCAGACCCCACUGCCCCCCCCGCCCCAAGAGUCAAGGGGUCUGGAGAGCGGUCUACUCACUUCUCUGUGAGCCAGGAGAAAGCUGGAGAAGGAGCAAAGCCCUUCACCAAGAAAUGGGACGGUUACAAGGCAUCACAGUGGGGAUGAGCUGUCACCAGUUCUACAGGGAACAGCAGUGUCUCGGGUCCUCAUCCGCCAUAUUGGGUUCAGGCCCCAGAUGGGAUGUGUUGGUAAAAGGAAUACAGCAGGCCUCACCCAGUGCGGAAGCUACUCUCUUGGAUCAUCCCAACAUCCUGGACAAGCCUUGGCCUUCCCCUGAAGUCCAGAGGAGCAUGAGUGUUUGCAUAAAGCUGGGCUCGGUACCUUCUCUCAGAGGAAGUUUUCCCUUUUUUGUGGAGGGAGAUGGCAAUCUUUGCCAAUCUGUUCCAGCCAAUGAUCAACAGAGACGUGCUUUUCUCGCAUCUGGCUUUGACGAUGUAAUGGAAUGCAGGGCGUCCAUUUCUCCUUUCUUCGUGCUUAUCACGCCGCCCUGGUCCUUGCGCUGAAACAGCCAUUCUGCCUUGUAUGGCUUGGCUGUCUUUCCAGUGCUGCCCUUAUUCUGAGUAUUUUCUGUUGCACUUUGCUGGAAUCGUAUAUAUGCAGUAAAAUCACCGAACCGAGGAAGAUCUGCUUGCCUGGGGGUCCCACAAGGCAAGCAGCAUCCAGAGGAGCAACUCAUCAUGGAUGCGGUGAUGUCUCAGUCACACUGUGACUGUGCGCCCCGGUUCAAUCAACUCCGCCGCAGACGUAAUUCACUGUGGAUCCCUUUCGUUUCGCUUAUCGUCAGAAUGAAUACACACAGGAACCCCUUUAGCCCCCACCGUUUGUCAUCGGCUGCCACGUUAAACAUUGAUUUUAUUUUCCCAGGUCAGAAAUGAUGAAAUCAAUAUCUAACACGGCCAGUUGUAUUUGCUCGUACCUUUUCAUUCAGAUUCCCUGACAAAUUUUAAACAUUUUACACUGCAUUUAAUUUAAGGAUUAAGUCUGUAAGCUUGUAGAUUUAAAUGUCAGUAAAGGUUAAGAAUUAAUUGUACAUGAAACUGACUACAUUAAAUUUUAAAGCGAGAGUAGUUAUUAUUAAACACACGUGGAGGUAUUGCGUUAUUUUAUUGUUAUGAUCCAUUCAUUAGUUCAUUUGCCCAUUAUUCAUUUGGCAUACAUUAAUGCAGCAUUUGGUAUUUUUCA